UACAGAGGUUACAAGCGUUAUCCGGAUUUAUUGGGCGUAAAGCGUUUCGUAGGUGGAUUGGAAAGUUACUCUUCAAAGACUACGGCUCAACCGGAGGAAGGGGAGUAAUACUGCCAGUCUUGAAAUAUGGUGGGGCUUCCGGAACUGAUGGUGUAGUAGUGAAAUACGUUGAUAUCAUCAGGAACUCCGAGGGCGAAGGCAGGAAGCUAACCAUUUUUUUGACACUGAGGAACGACAGCUAGGGG
Molecule: ribosomal RNA, 245 nt
Filed under: uncultured bacterium
Lineage: Bacteria
Description: partial 16S ribosomal RNA
Rfam family: Bacterial small subunit ribosomal RNA
Source: RNAcentral